Molecule: ribosomal RNA, 268 nt
Filed under: Thyrinula eucalyptina
Lineage: Eukaryota; Fungi; Ascomycota; Dothideomycetes; Asterinales; Asterinaceae
Description: partial 18S ribosomal RNA
Source: RNAcentral
UCGUCAAACUGCGGGAAAGCCCUGCCACGACUCUCGGGACCUCACCGCCCCAGCAAUGGAAGCGGGUGCCUGCGGCCAACGGCCGCGGGUACGGUAAAGCACCGAAGUCUAGGGGCGAUCCGCCGCCAAACCCUCCCCGCACCGGGAGGGCCCAGCUCACAGGCCAGACGGCGAUGGGCGCUCUCGCGCUUAAGAUAUGGUCGAGUGACUCGCCGAGAGGCGGGUGCAACUCAGGAACGUCCGUAGGUGAACCUGCGGAAGGAUCAUU